Molecule: ribosomal RNA, 452 nt
Filed under: uncultured Bacteroidales bacterium
Lineage: Bacteria; Pseudomonadati; Bacteroidota; Bacteroidia; Bacteroidales
Description: bacterial SSU rRNA
Rfam family: Bacterial small subunit ribosomal RNA
Source: RNAcentral
GGGCCCGCACAAGCGGAGGAACAUGUGGUUUAAUUCGAUGAUACGCGAGGAACCUUACCCGGGUUUGAACGCAUUCGGACAGGGGCGGAAACGUCCUCUUCAGCAAUGACCGUUUGCGAGGUGCUGCAUGGUUGUCGUCAGCUCGUGCCGUGAGGUGUCGGCUUAAGUGCCAUAACGAGCGCAACCCCUAUUGCCAGUUGCCAUCGAGUAAAGUCGGGGACUUUGGCAAGACUGCCGGCGUAAGCUGCGAGGAAGGCGGGGAUGACGUCAAAUCAGCACGGCCCUUACAUCCGGGGCGACACACGUGUUACAAUGGCAGGGACAAAGGGCAGCCACCCGGCGACGGGGCGCUAAUCCCAAAACCCUGUCUCAGUUCGGAUCGGAGUCUGCAACUCGACUCCGUGAAGCCGGAUUCGCUAGUAAUCGCGCAUCAGCACGGCGCGGUGAAUACG